UUGUGAAUGAUGACAAAGCUUUCUCAAAUGUUCGCAGUUGAGAGUUCUGUUGAAUAAGAACGACUCGAUGAAAUUUUCACGUAGCCUUCACUUAGAUGUCUGACACGAAAG
Molecule: small nucleolar RNA, 111 nt
Filed under: Plasmodium cynomolgi strain B
Lineage: Eukaryota; Apicomplexa; Aconoidasida; Haemosporida; Plasmodiidae
Description: small nucleolar RNA snoR13
Rfam family: small nucleolar RNA snoR13
Source: Rfam by way of RNAcentral